UGAGCCUUGGCCGUCUGCGGGUUUCCUGUAUUGCAUACCUACACGAAGGAAUUCGACUGUCCCAACGUUUCAUGUUCUCCUAGUGCCGCCCCCGGAAGGGUGCGGCGUGAGGUGAGCCGCGAAGGCAAAUUCGUGGUCCAAGACAAUCGUAGCACACGUUGUUGCUCUGGCCCACGAAGUGUAGCCUGAGCUCUCGGAUGCGGAAUACCAUGAGGGUAGGAGGUCGCGGCCUCCGUGUGCCCAUGCUCAGCGUUAAUCGCUCGCAUCGAACGACUACCGUCGU
RNAcentral lists this unclassified non-coding RNA (283 nucleotides) under Ixora nimbana. RNAcentral describes it as "partial external transcribed spacer". Lineage: Eukaryota; Viridiplantae; Streptophyta; Magnoliopsida; Gentianales; Rubiaceae. The record is from RNAcentral.